This 450-nucleotide ribosomal RNA is filed under the name uncultured bacterium. Its description in RNAcentral is "bacterial SSU rRNA". It matches the Rfam family "Bacterial small subunit ribosomal RNA", at positions 354 to 796 of the family's 1533-position model. The record is from RNAcentral.
GUAGGGAAUAUUGGACAAUGGGCGAAAGCCUGAUCCAGCAAUGCCGUGUGGGUGAAGAAGGCCUGCGGGUUGUAAAGCCCUUUCGGUCGGGAAGAAAAGCUGAGUGCUAAUAUCAUUCAGUCUUGACGUUACCGGAAGAAGAAGCACCGGCAAACUCUGUGCCAGCAGCCGCGGUAAUACAGAGGGUGCGAGCGUUAAUCGGAAUUACUGGGCGUAAAGGGUGCGUAGGCGGCUACUUAAGUCGGAUGUGAAAUCCCUGGGCUCAACCUGGGAAUUGCACUCGAUACUGGGUAGCUAGAGUAUGGUAGAGGGUAGUGGAAUUCCGGGUGUAGCGGUGAAAUGCGUAGAUAUCCGGAGGAACACCGGUGGCGAAGGCGGCUACCUGGACCAAUACUGACGCUGAGGCACGAAAGCGUGGGGAUCAAACAGGAUUAGAAACCCUUGUAGUCC